CGCGGGGUGGAGCAGUUCGGUAGCUCGUCGGGCUCAUAACCCGAAGGUCGUAGGUUCAAAUCCUACCCCCGCAA
Molecule: transfer RNA, 74 nt
Filed under: Paenibacillus polymyxa
Lineage: Bacteria; Bacillati; Bacillota; Bacilli; Caryophanales; Paenibacillaceae
Also listed under: 15 other names
Description: tRNA-Met
Rfam family: tRNA
About the family: Transfer RNA (tRNA) molecules are approximately 80 nucleotides in length. Their secondary structure includes four short double-helical elements and three loops (D, anti-codon, and T loops). Further hydrogen bonds mediate the characteristic L-shaped molecular structure. tRNAs have two regions of fundamental functional importance: the anti-codon, which is responsible for specific mRNA codon recognition, and the 3' end, to which the tRNAs corresponding amino acid is attached (by aminoacyl-tRNA synthetases). tRNAs cope with the degeneracy of the genetic code in two manners: having more than one tRNA (with a specific anti-codon) for a particular amino acid; and 'wobble' base-pairing, i.e. permitting non-standard base-pairing at the 3rd anti-codon position.
Source: RNAcentral